GUCAUUUAAUAUUUGUGUUCAAGUAUAUGUAUUAUAUCAUAUCUAAAAUUCACGGAAAACGUCACAUAUGACGUCAAUGUUGUUGUCAAUGUAUGACGUCAAUGUUGUCCAGGACACUCGACCAGCAUCUUUCAGAGCAUAAGAAAGACUUAGAAAAAGGCAGGGCAACAACAGCAUUAGCAGCAGCAACCUACAAAAGAGAUAUAUCAGUCAAGUGGAAAGCAGCAAAGGUAGUUAAGCCUUUGAGCAAGGUGAAGCACACAGUUUUAGUGGAAGCCAUGAAGAUAUAUGAAAGCGAAAAGAAU
RNAcentral lists this long non-coding RNA (305 nucleotides) under Androctonus crassicauda. The record is from RNAcentral. Lineage: Eukaryota; Metazoa; Arthropoda; Arachnida; Scorpiones; Buthidae.